RNAcentral lists this ribosomal RNA (298 nucleotides) under Klebsiella michiganensis. RNAcentral's name for it is "partial 23S ribosomal RNA". It matches the Rfam family "Bacterial large subunit ribosomal RNA", at positions 1 to 304 of the family's 2925-position model. Lineage: Bacteria; Pseudomonadati; Pseudomonadota; Gammaproteobacteria; Enterobacterales; Enterobacteriaceae. The record is from RNAcentral.
GGUUAAGCGACUAAGCGUACACGGUGGAUGCCCUGGCAGUCAGAGGCGAUGAAGGACGUGCUAAUCUGCGAAAAGCGUCGGUAAGGUGAUAUGAACCGUUACAGCCGGCGAUGUCCGAAUGGGGAAACCCAGUGCAAUUCGUUGCACUAUCGUUAACUGAAUACAUAGGUUAACGAGGCGAACCGGGGGAACUGAAACAUCUAAGUACCCCGAGGAAAAGAAAUCAACCGAGAUUCCCCCAGUAGCGGCGAGCGAACGGGGAGCAGCCCGGAGUCUGAAUCAGCUUGUGUGUUAGUGG